RNAcentral lists this transfer RNA (85 nucleotides) under uncultured Clostridium sp. Its description in RNAcentral is "tRNA-Ser(cag)". It matches the Rfam family "tRNA". From Rfam's summary of the family: Transfer RNA (tRNA) molecules are approximately 80 nucleotides in length. Their secondary structure includes four short double-helical elements and three loops (D, anti-codon, and T loops). Further hydrogen bonds mediate the characteristic L-shaped molecular structure. tRNAs have two regions of fundamental functional importance: the anti-codon, which is responsible for specific mRNA codon recognition, and the 3' end, to which the tRNAs corresponding amino acid is attached (by aminoacyl-tRNA synthetases). tRNAs cope with the degeneracy of the genetic code in two manners: having more than one tRNA (with a specific anti-codon) for a particular amino acid; and 'wobble' base-pairing, i.e. permitting non-standard base-pairing at the 3rd anti-codon position. RNAcentral also lists the same sequence under 1 other name. Lineage: Bacteria; Bacillati; Bacillota; Clostridia; Eubacteriales; Clostridiaceae. The record is from RNAcentral.
GCGGAAGUGGCGGAAUUGGCAGACGCGCAGGCUUCAGGUGCCUGUGGUAGCAAUACCGUGCGGGUUCAAGUCCCGCCUUCCGCAC